Molecule: ribosomal RNA, 464 nt
Filed under: Vreelandella stevensii
Lineage: Bacteria; Pseudomonadati; Pseudomonadota; Gammaproteobacteria; Oceanospirillales; Halomonadaceae
Description: partial 16S ribosomal RNA
Rfam family: Bacterial small subunit ribosomal RNA
Source: RNAcentral
CCUACGGGUGGCUGCAGUGGGGAAUAUUGGACAAUGGGCGAAAGCCUGAUCCAGCCAUGCCGCGUGUGUGAAGAAGGCCUUCGGGUUGUAAAGCACUUUCAGUGGGGAAGAAAGCCUUGGGGCUAAUACCCUCGAGGAAGGACAUCACCCACAGAAGAAGCACCGGCUAACUCCGUGCCAGCAGCCGCGGUAAUACGGAGGGUGCGAGCGUUAAUCGGAAUUACUGGGCGUAAAGCGCGCGUAGGCGGUCUGAUAAGCCGGUUGUGAAAGCCCCGGGCUCAACCUGGGAACGGCAUCCGGAACUGUCAGGCUAGAGUGCAGGAGAGGAAGGUAGAAUUCCCGGUGUAGCGGUGAAAUGCGUAGAGAUCGGGAGGAAUACCAGUGGCGAAGGCGGCCUUCUGGACUGACACUGACGCUGAGGUGCGAAAGCGUGGGUAGCAAACAGGAUUAGAUACCCCAGUGUC